GAUGAACGCUGGCGGCGUGCUUAACACAUGCAAGUCGAGCGAACAGACGAGGAUUUUGUUCCUCUCACGUUAGCGGCGGACGGGUGAGUAACACGUGGAUAACCUACCUAUCAUACUGGGAUAACUUCGGGAAACCGGAGCUAACACCGGAUAAUAUAUUGAACCUCAUGGUUCAAUAGUGAAAGACGGUUUUGCUGUCACUUAUAGAUGGAUCCGCGCCGCUUUAGAUAGUUGGUAAGGUAACGGCUUACCAAGGCAACGAUGCGUAGCCUACCGGCGAGGGGGAUCGGCCCCACUAGAGGGGAGACACGGAACAGACUACUAAGGGACGCAACAGAAGGGAGUGGAACACAAUGGGAGAAGGCCUGGCGGAGAACAGCCGCGUGAGUUAUAGAAGUCUUGGGAUCGUAAAACUCAGUUAUUAGGGAAGAACAAAUGUGUAAGUAACUAUGCACGUCUUGACGGUACCUAAUGAAAAAGCACCGGCUAACUACGUG
Molecule: ribosomal RNA, 497 nt
Filed under: uncultured bacterium
Lineage: Bacteria
Description: partial 16S ribosomal RNA
Rfam family: Bacterial small subunit ribosomal RNA
Source: RNAcentral